RNAcentral lists this ribosomal RNA (465 nucleotides) under uncultured bacterium. RNAcentral describes it as "bacterial SSU rRNA". It matches the Rfam family "Bacterial small subunit ribosomal RNA", at positions 338 to 795 of the family's 1533-position model. The record is from RNAcentral.
CCUACGGGGUGCAGCAGUGGGGAAUAUUGCACAAUGGGCGCAAGCCUGAUGCAGCCAUGCCGCGUGUAUGAAGAAGGCCUUCGGGUUGUAAAGUACUUUCAGCGAGGAGGAAGGCGAUAAGGUUAAUGACCUUGUCGAUUGACGUUACCCGCAGAAGAAGCACCGGCUAACUCCGUGCCAGCAGCCGCGGUAAUACGGAGGGUGCAAGCGUUAAUCGGAAUUACUGGGCGUAAAGCGCACGCAGGCGGUCUGUCAAGUCGGAUGUGAAAUCCCCGGGCUCAACCUGGGAACUGCAUUCGAAACUGGCAGGCUAGAGUCUUGUAGAGGGGGGUAGAAUUCCAGGUGUAGCGGUGAAAUGCGUAGAGAUCUGGAGGAAUACCGGUGGCGAAGGCGGCUUACUGGUCUGCAACUGACGCUGAGGCGCGAAAGCGUGGGGAGCAAACAGGAUUAGAUACCCCGGUAGUC